UUGUUGAAAACGCGUUUGGUAUUUUGUGUCAACCCAUUCGUAUUUUUCACCGAAAACUGAAAGCCAAACCGAAGGACAGGGACAAUAUUGUUGCUGCGGAAAUUCACAGAAAGUACUGUAUCUGCUUUGCGCAUACGACAUCAAGGAGGCCAAGCCAGGAGAGAAGCUGUCAGAAUAAGGGACGUAUUCACGACUUAUUUUAAUUCGGAGGCUGGGCCCGUGGAUUGGCAGCUGAAUAAGAUAUAAUUAAGGUGCAUAAUAUGCUAAAAGACAAGUAGAGAAAAAUAAAUUGAUUGGGUCUAUACGUAUU
Ceratina calcarata is the source of this 310-nucleotide long non-coding RNA. RefSeq lists it as uncharacterized. Lineage: Eukaryota; Metazoa; Arthropoda; Insecta; Hymenoptera; Apidae. The transcript has 2 exons. The record is from RefSeq and is a predicted model, not a curated record.